CUAUAAUGGAAAUUGACUAACAACGAUCUAUGAUAUUCUUUUCCGACAGACCUGAUUGGUGAAAUAAUUGAUGUGAAGAGUAUUGUCACUGACCCUCCUCAAGACAAGAACCGUGUUAUAGCGACCAUUAAGAUGGACAAUGAUAUGUCUGUGACCAUGAGUCUCUUUGACUCUCAAGCUGUUAAGAUCCACAAUCCGCUGGAAGUGUCAACCCCAAGAUGGUGGGAGGAAAGCAACCAAACCGAAGCUACAUUGCCAGCUGUACAAUAAUUGCUAAAACAUUUACUCCCUAUUUGUCCUGCAGGUCGUCUGUUUUUGAAUGCCACUCCCGGCACACGCAUAUAAUUUGACAAGGAACAGCUGCAGGGGAGAGUUUUUUUCUACAGGACACUGGGCUUACACCAGCUGCUCCACUGCUAAGGGGAUAUGCUAAGGUGGAAUCCCUGAGCGUAGCCGAGAAUGAUUUUGUCCUAACUGCUUCCAUGGCAGGUAUGGCAACCAGAAUUAUAAUGUUUAAAUGCUGAAUGUGUAAGUUUCUGUGUUUCAUUUGGUUUCCAAACAAAGUAGGAGAAUUGAUUUCCUCUGUAUUGGAAGAGUGACUGAAAGUAAGUUGAAGAAGGGAUGGUGCUAUGUUUAUUGGUCAAACUGUGCCAAGAAACUUCAGCACACUGUCUCAUCUUUCACAUGUCUGCCUUGCAACAACACUAAUGCAGUUGGUGUCCCCAUACACCGUGUGGAGAUGUCUGUUGCAGAUGGUGAAGCUUUGUUUGUCUGUUUUGAUGGGGUGAUGACAAAACUUCACAACAUGAAGCCUAUGAAGCUGGCCACCUUUUGGCUGGUGAUGGAGUCAAUCUGGAUGAAACUCAGGCCCCACCGUUUGUGUCAGACAUGGUAGUAAGACCUACACAUUCCAAGUGAGGGUUAGUUCAUUAAAUUUCACAGCGAAUCAUCAGACCUUUACUGUCUAACGUAUCCUCAAUGAGCGGGUCUGUGAGCCACAGACUACAUUCCUUGAUAAUGGAGGCGACGUUGACAAUGGAGAUGACAACCCCGGUGCCGUCUCAGUGCCUACUAAAGUGGAAGCUGGUGGUAGUAGCCAGGCGCAAGGAGCCGGACAAGGUGAAGAAAGACGCAAGGCUUAGGUGAAGAGGAUUGAAGUUCAAGCCGUAUAUUUUCAUGUUUUCUAUAAUGCUCAUGCCGUUUCCUAGGUUUUUUUUGUCUUUUUGCGGUAUUCCUUUAUGAACAACUUUGUCGUGACUCUUUGGUACUUUUGUAAUUUUGGUUGUCUAAAAUCAAAUAUAAAAUAUAUCUCAUUUCUGAAA
Long non-coding RNA from Raphanus sativus (radish), 1322 nucleotides. RefSeq lists it as uncharacterized. The transcript has 6 exons. The record is from RefSeq and is a predicted model, not a curated record. NCBI's taxonomy places the organism in Eukaryota, Viridiplantae, Streptophyta, Magnoliopsida, Brassicales, Brassicaceae.